Molecule: ribosomal RNA, 254 nt
Filed under: uncultured bacterium
Lineage: Bacteria
Description: partial small subunit ribosomal RNA
Rfam family: Bacterial small subunit ribosomal RNA
Source: RNAcentral
AGGACGAACGCUGGCGGCGUGCUUAACACAUGCAAGUCGAGCGGAAAGGCCCUUCGGGGUACUCGAGCGGCGAACGGGUGAGUAACAUGUGAGCAACCUGCCCUUAGCUUCGGGAUAGCUCCGGGAAACCGGAAUUAAUACCGAAUAUGACUUUGGCUGACAUCAGCAGAAGUGGAAAGUUUUUCGGCUAGGGAUGGACUCGCGGCCUAUCAGCUAGUUGGUGAGGUAACGGCCCACCAAGGCGACGACGGGUA